AUGGGCGUAGCUUAAUGGUAGAGCGACGGAUUCCAACUCCGUUAGGUGCGGGUUCGAGUCCUGCCGCCCGUG
This 72-nucleotide transfer RNA is filed under the name Paractinoplanes ovalisporus. RNAcentral's name for it is "tRNA-Trp". It matches the Rfam family "tRNA". From Rfam's summary of the family: Transfer RNA (tRNA) molecules are approximately 80 nucleotides in length. Their secondary structure includes four short double-helical elements and three loops (D, anti-codon, and T loops). The record is from RNAcentral. Lineage: Bacteria; Bacillati; Actinomycetota; Actinomycetes; Micromonosporales; Micromonosporaceae.